UCAGUUGGUUUUGGCAGCGCGAGGACUAGGGUAAUGAUUAAUAGGGAUAGUUGGGGGCAUUAAUAUUUAAUUGUCAGAGGUGAAAUUCUUGGAUUUAUGAAAGAUUAACUUCUGCGAAAGCAUCUGCCAAGGAUGUUUUCAUUAAUCAAGAACGAAAGUUAGGGGAUCGAAGACGAUCAGAUACCGUCGUAGUCUUAACCAUAAACGAUGCCGACCAGCGAUUAGGAGACGUUGAAUACAAAACACCACCAUCGGCGCGGUCGUCCUUGGCGCGUUCGUGUUCACGCACGGGCGGCGCGAGGGCGGUUUAGCCCGGUGGCACCGGUGAAUGACUCCCCUAGCAGCUUGUG
This 350-nucleotide ribosomal RNA is filed under the name Acanthamoeba genotype T4. RNAcentral's name for it is "SSU rRNA". It matches the Rfam family "Eukaryotic small subunit ribosomal RNA", at positions 832 to 1092 of the family's 1831-position model. Lineage: Eukaryota; Discosea; Longamoebia; Acanthamoebidae. The record is from RNAcentral.